This 393-nucleotide unclassified non-coding RNA is filed under the name uncultured Shewanellaceae bacterium. RNAcentral describes it as "partial 16S-23S ribosomal RNA intergenic spacer". The record is from RNAcentral. Lineage: Bacteria; Pseudomonadati; Pseudomonadota; Gammaproteobacteria; Alteromonadales; Shewanellaceae.
CCUCCUUAUACGAAGAUAUCUUUGAUGAGUACCCACACAGAUUGAUGGUUUAGAUUUAGUUAAAGCCAGAGCUUUAAUUAAUAACGUAAGUUAUUGAUUAAAGCUUUUUGCUUUAUGCUCUUUAACAAUUUGGAAAGCUGACUGAUUGAUUUACUUACGAGUAAUUCAAUCAAAUUUAAAAGUUCUCAAUGUUUAUCUUUCAUUAGAUAAACACAACAAACACAUUCAAGUGUCUUGUAUUCGGUUCAAACUUGUUUGAAUCACAUUGAGUCCGGCAAACAGUCAUUGAGAAUUAACCCUUCUUAAUGACAACCAAAAACCUUGGUUAGUUGCCAUACGCUAAGACCCUUUCGGGUUGUAUGGUUAAGUGACUAANCGUACACGGUGGAUGCA